GUUUAUCUUGCACAUAAUCAGGUCAUGACCACUGGUGCCUUAGUAACCAUGAGCUAGAAUUCUAGCCCACUGAUUAAUUCAUUUUUAUACACCAUAACUCUGUUUGGGAUCGGGGUACCUGGUCUUAUGUGCACUACCUUUUCCAUUGAAAAUAAAGGUUGGGCUGGUGGAAGCAGCCUGGAGCAUAUUAGACUAACGGCAAAGGUGAAAGCGCUAAGGAGGAAACUCAGUAUAUAGUUGAAAUCAGCAUUUCACAAACAAACAAAGGAGUACGGAAAAAUGUAGGGAGAGUUGUAGGCUCCUUUUAUAGCAGCUUUAGGAGAGUGCUAUGAAUUUUAAGCAGACUCCAGUACUACAGCAUGCUAACAGAUCAAAAUUGCAACCAAGUAUGGGUGUUUGCUGUCUUUACCACCCCUGAUGUUCCCACCACACUCAUCCCCAGCAGGUUGCAGUGAUGACUGCACAGCAGGUUGUGUCCUUCCAAACACAGUGUCUGUGCUUAUGGGGCACCUGUAAGAAGACUCAGAGGAUGGCUGAGGAUGGAGGCCAAGAGAUAGCAGAAGUGCAUCAGAAAGAUCAAAAAAGAACUCAUCUUUUCAACUGGCCUGCACGUCUGCUUGCGAAGUUUCAUUUAGGCACACACGUCACUCCUGAUAUCCCCAGAGCACUUUGCGUGAGACCACCAGGCUGAAGAGGUAGAAGAACAUUUGAGGCUGAGUUGUGCAUCACCAAAGCUGGGUAAGUAGGACAAGUUAAAAAGCAGUAAUGUUUUGGCCAACGUUUUCCCAAAACAUUCACGUGCUUUCCUCACCAGGAAGUUUCAAAAUGUGACCAGCUUUAACACGGGGUCCUAACAUGACCUGUUUAUAAUGGAAACUCAAAGGCUUAUAUCAAUGUGAAACGUCACCAUUGUAGUGGCAGAUAAACCGUGGAUGUUAAAAAUCUGCCUUAAAAUCUUAUGCGGUCCUGACCAUAUGCAAGGCCUUCUUUCCCCCUCUUCUGUGACCUCUGUAAUUUUGCCAGCUGCCAUUCACAUCCACAGCAAACUAAAAAUAUAGGCCGAUCUGCUUCCUUCAGAGAAGUUCCUGGACAGUUUAUAAGCCUGGGGCUUUCAAUGCAGGCAAAGGGGGAAAAAAUCCACUCUCAGUUGUAAAGUACUGUAAAGGUAAGCUUAAAAUCUCAUUUGAUAUGACUAAGAAGAAAAGGAUAUGACAUGCUUUUGGUCUUUCAAAGCUCUCGGUAUGCUAGAUGGCUAUAGAAAGCUUCUAUGUGCAAGAAUGAGCCCUGAAGCUAGCAGGAAAAAUCAAUAAGAAGAAAUUAUGCUGGAAAUAUCAGAAUCAAUAAUUAUUUAAAGGACGUCUUCCUUGCCCAGGAACAGUGCAAAGCGAAACAGGCAACGUGCCCAAAACAGGCCAGCGGAGGAAGUGAAGAGAACUGGGAAAAGCUCUUUAGAGUCCAUACGCCAUCUAUCACAGCCUGAACAAUCUUUCAGUUAAGAGCUGG
Molecule: long non-coding RNA, 1503 nt
Filed under: Struthio camelus australis
Lineage: Eukaryota; Metazoa; Chordata; Aves; Struthioniformes; Struthionidae
Description: lncRNA (ENSSCUG00000017549.1)
Source: RNAcentral